This 497-nucleotide ribosomal RNA is filed under the name uncultured bacterium. RNAcentral describes it as "partial 16S ribosomal RNA". It matches the Rfam family "Bacterial small subunit ribosomal RNA", at positions 28 to 507 of the family's 1533-position model. The record is from RNAcentral.
GAUGAACGCUGGCGGCGUGCCUAAUACAUGCAAGUCGAGCGAACAGACGAGGAGCUUGCUCCUCUGAUGUUAGCGGCGGACGGGUGAGUAACACGUGGAUAACCUACCUAUAAGACUGGGAUAACUUCGGGAAACCGGAGCUAAUACCGGAUAACAUGUUGAACCGCAUGGUUCAACAGUGAAAGACGGUCUUGCUGUCACUUAUAGAUGGAUCCGCGCCGCAUUAGCUAGUUGGUAAGGUAACGGCUUACCAAGGCAACGAUGCGUAGCCGACCUGAGAGGGUGAUCGGCCACACUGGAACUGAGACACGGUCCAGACUCCUACGGGAGGCAGCAGUAGGGAAUCUUCCGCAAUGGGCGAAAGCCUGACGGAGCAACGCUGCGUGAGUGAAGAAGGUCUUCGGAUCGUAAAACUCUGUUAUUAGGGAAGAACAAAUGUGUAAGUAACUAUGCACGUCUUGACGGUACCUAAUCAGAAAGCCACGGCUAACUACGUG